GGGAUGUAUACGGGGACAUGAGUGUGAUAAGACAUCACAAUGGGAACACAUAAUAGUUUUGCAAUAAUGAGAGCACCAAAAACCAUUAUCCCAGGUGAUGAUGCAUGUAUUAUGUCAGGCUUAAACCGUGCAACUUCUGAAAUUAUUCUUGGACUCAGUGCCAAAGAAAGAGGCACCUUCUGGUACCAGGGGCAGGGGAAGCUCCGUGAUCCAAUCAAUUUUGCUCCAUAAAACUCCU
This 238-nucleotide unclassified non-coding RNA is filed under the name Hevea brasiliensis (rubber tree). The record is from RNAcentral. Lineage: Eukaryota; Viridiplantae; Streptophyta; Magnoliopsida; Malpighiales; Euphorbiaceae.